RNAcentral lists this transfer RNA (76 nucleotides) under Oscillospiraceae bacterium. Its description in RNAcentral is "tRNA-Ala". It matches the Rfam family "tRNA". From Rfam's summary of the family: Transfer RNA (tRNA) molecules are approximately 80 nucleotides in length. Their secondary structure includes four short double-helical elements and three loops (D, anti-codon, and T loops). Further hydrogen bonds mediate the characteristic L-shaped molecular structure. tRNAs have two regions of fundamental functional importance: the anti-codon, which is responsible for specific mRNA codon recognition, and the 3' end, to which the tRNAs corresponding amino acid is attached (by aminoacyl-tRNA synthetases). tRNAs cope with the degeneracy of the genetic code in two manners: having more than one tRNA (with a specific anti-codon) for a particular amino acid; and 'wobble' base-pairing, i.e. permitting non-standard base-pairing at the 3rd anti-codon position. Lineage: Bacteria; Bacillati; Bacillota; Clostridia; Eubacteriales; Oscillospiraceae. The record is from RNAcentral.
GGGGGCGUAGCUCAGUUGGGAGAGCGAUGCGUUCGCAACGCAUAGGUCAUGGGUUCGAAUCCCACCGUCUCCACCA